Molecule: transfer RNA, 57 nt
Filed under: Strongyloides procyonis
Lineage: Eukaryota; Metazoa; Nematoda; Chromadorea; Rhabditida; Strongyloididae
Description: tRNA-Leu
Source: RNAcentral
AUUGAAUUAGCAUAAUAUAAUGUAUUCGCUUUAAGCGCGGAAGAUUUUAAUUCAAUU